Non-coding RNA from Penaeus vannamei (Pacific white shrimp), 132 nucleotides. The record is from RefSeq and is a predicted model, not a curated record. NCBI's taxonomy places the organism in Eukaryota, Metazoa, Arthropoda, Malacostraca, Decapoda, Penaeidae.
CCUUCUUUGGCUGCGACAUUCCUGACGGCUUCUGUCCCGGCUCUUGAUUUUACUGGAGCUCCACUGUCCCACCAGAGUGGAGUAGGCCGGGCCUAUACUUCGAUGUGUCUCGAAUAAAUCAUGACAAAUAAA